This 561-nucleotide long non-coding RNA is filed under the name Erythranthe guttata (spotted monkey flower). RNAcentral describes it as "long non-coding RNA (EGUT_LNC003788)". The record is from RNAcentral. Lineage: Eukaryota; Viridiplantae; Streptophyta; Magnoliopsida; Lamiales; Phrymaceae.
CAACAUAAAAACCACUCUGUAUAUACAGUUAUAUAAAAAUAUGUACAGUAAUUAUUGAAAACCACUAUAAUUUUUGUACAGAUUUUUAUAGUGGUAUAUGUAAAAUAUUGAAAACCACUACAAAAAUCUGUACAUAAUUAUUGAAAACCACUAUAAAAAAUCCACUUCUUUCGUCCAUUAGAUAUCCAUACUUCUUUCGUCCACCACCUCCAAAUCUCCUCCGCCGCCCGCCGCCACCUCCGGCAAACACACACUAACACACGUUCAAGAAAACACACUCACACACCAACACAUUAAUAAUAUAUAAAAAUUAUUGUGUGGUUAAACAUAAAAUGAAAAAAACAAGUUCAUAUAAAUAUAAAUCAUGAUCGUCGAUCCAAAGAAACGGCACUCAUCCAAUCCGUUAAUCGCCAAAUUCGGCUCCAACCAACAGUUGUUGUCAAAUUUCAAUAACAAGGGUCACUGUAUCAAUUUGAAUAAGAAAAAAAAUUAAUUUAUAAGAAUUAAUAGUCUUUUUCACAAUAUCUUUAUCAAAUAAGAACCUUCCCCACAAACCCUAAA